Homo sapiens (human) is the source of this 587-nucleotide long non-coding RNA. Ensembl annotates it as WASHC5 antisense RNA 1. Its record names the gene WASHC5-AS1. The record is from Ensembl. Lineage: Eukaryota; Metazoa; Chordata; Mammalia; Primates; Hominidae.
AUUUCUCUUUCCUGUUGCCAUGUGAAGAAGGACAUGUUUGCUUCCACUUCCACCAUGGUUGUAAGUUUCCUGAGGCCUCCACAGCCAUGCUGAACUGGUGGCAGAAAACAGGCAUGAAAGUCAAAAGGCUCACCUGUAACUCUUUUACAAUCAUAAAGCACAGAAGCCUGUCUAAGCCAUUUAGACCAAAGGUUCCCAAGGUGGUCUGGAUUUCUGAGAAGAGGCGGCUGCUGGUCACUUCCUGAUGAGUUUUCAUAUCAUACCAAGUGUUCAGCUGGUCUAUGUGACAUGUCAUUCUAAAAUGAAAACAAUGCAAAAACCCCAGAAUGGCUCAGAAUUCAUCCUUAAAGAGAUGUUAGGACUCAACAGGACAUGCGGCACCAAAUAUGAAGAACAGGAGUUACAUGAUCUGUGUUUUCUAACCUCUGUAUUCAGGCACCCAAUGCGUCUUCCCAGUGACACCCAAUGGAACAGGAAGGUAAAAUUCAGUCUGACCCCCUUUUCCUGCCCUAUGCCAUAUCAUUGGUUUCAGUCAUUUAUUUCCAUUGAGUUAGGGUGUUGACUUGGAAUCAUGCUGAGAAGACAAG